UGUACGUUGGUGGUAACGACGUUUGCAGUGCCAACGCGGACCCUCAAGAUAUAUGCGACAAAAUAGGGAAGUUAGUUCUGCAACUGCAGCACGAUGUGGCCCCCGUGGUGUAUACGUCUUCAAAGUGCUGCCAUGUUGCUCCAGCUCUGAAGACGCCGAUGCAGAGCGCCAGAUCAAGAAAACGCGCUUGCUGAACCGCAAGCUGACGGCUACGCUGAAACGCCUGCCGUGUGUUCGAAUCUUAAACGCCGAGCAUCGGUUUCUCAAUUCCUCGAAAGAGCCACGACGUGCGUUCUUAGCAAUUGAUGGGUACCAUGUGCACAGAGGCCAAGGGAUCGAUCAGCUGGCCAAAAUCAUCGUCAGUUCUCUUGCCCGUGACUUCGGACCUGGAGUGAAGUCACAUGCACACAGCGAGCUGGGUAUCUGCUACAGGCUGCUGAAGUGCAGCCACUGCAACACAAAAGGCCACGAAGUCCUGCGAGUGCAGCAAAUUCCUUCGCCUACCUUCCCAACAUGAACCAAGACUGCUUUAGAUCAUCUAUGUGUAAAGCAGCACACAAAAGCAAGACAUGAAAGGAGGAAUACAAUUGAACAGGCCAACCACUGCACUUGCAAUUAGCUUAUUUUGAAGGGAAAAAAAGGAGGGGGUAAUACACAUAUGCACAAGUGCACAACAUUCACAUUUUUUUUAAGCACCGUUAUGAGCAAAAGUCAUUGUUGCAUGUGGUGCACUUGUGGAUAUGUACUAUAUACAUAUUUUUUAAAAGAAUAAACUAGUGGCAAGUGCAACAGUUGUCCUGUUGAAUCAUAUUAAUCCUCUUGUGUCUUUUUUUCUGUGCGCUGCUUUACAUGUUCAGAUGCUCUGUCACCAAUUCACCCGACUUUCAACCUUACUGAAACUUGGCAAAUGCUGCCUGCCAUGAAACGGCCCUUUUCAGGGCCACCCAUGUGUUGUCCGGCUGGUUGCGAAUGCUCCCA
Rhipicephalus sanguineus (brown dog tick) is the source of this 978-nucleotide long non-coding RNA. RefSeq lists it as uncharacterized. NCBI's taxonomy places the organism in Eukaryota, Metazoa, Arthropoda, Arachnida, Ixodida, Ixodidae. The transcript is spliced from 3 exons. The record is from RefSeq and is a predicted model, not a curated record.